This 441-nucleotide ribosomal RNA is filed under the name uncultured bacterium. RNAcentral describes it as "partial 16S ribosomal RNA". It matches the Rfam family "Bacterial small subunit ribosomal RNA", at positions 338 to 795 of the family's 1533-position model. The record is from RNAcentral.
CCUACGGGUGGCAGCAGUGGGGAAUAUUGCACAAUGGGGGAAACCCUGAUGCAGCAACGCCGCGUGGGUGAAGGAGCGUUUCGGCGCGUAAAGCCCUGUCAGCGGGGAAGAAGAAAGACGGUACCCGACCAAGAAGCCCCGGCUAACUACGUGCCAGCAGCCGCGGUAAUACGUAGGGGGCAAGCGUUAUCCGGAUUUACUGGGUGUAAAGGGAGCGUAGGCGGCAGCACAAGUCUGGAGUGAAAUCCCGGGGCUUAACCCCGGAACUGCUUUUGAAACUGUGCGGCUGGAGUGCAGGAGGGGUAAGCGGAAUUCGUAGUGUAGCGGUGAAAUGCGUAGAUAUUAGGAGGAACACCGGUGGCGAAGGCGGCUUACUGGACUGUAACUGACGUUGAGGCUCGAAAGCGUGGGGAGCAAACAGGAUUAGAUACCCCAGUAGUC